CCUACGGGAGGCAGCAGUAGGGAAUCUUCCACAAUGGACGAAAGUCUGAUGGAGCAACGCCGCGUGAGUGAAGAAGGGUUUCGGCUCGUAAAGCUCUGUUGGUAGUGAAGAAAGAUAGAGGUAGUAACUGGCCUUUAUUUGACGGUAAUUACUUAGAAAGUCACGGCUAACUACGUGACAGCAGCCGCGGUAAUACGUAGGUGGCAAGCGUUGUCCGGAUUUUUUGGGCGUAAAGCGAGUGCAGGCGGUUCAAUAAGUCUGAUGUGAAAGCCUUCGGCUCAACCGGAGAAUUGCAUCAGAAACUGUUGAACUUGAGUGCAGAAGAGGAGAGUGGAACUCCAUGUGUAGCGGUGGAAUGCGUAGAUAUAUGGAAGAACACCAGUGGCGAAGGCGGCUCUCUGGUCUGCAACUGACGCUGAGGCUCGAAAGCAUGGGUAGCGAACAGGAUUAGAUACCCCUGUAGUC
This 465-nucleotide ribosomal RNA is filed under the name uncultured bacterium. RNAcentral's name for it is "partial 16S ribosomal RNA". It matches the Rfam family "Bacterial small subunit ribosomal RNA", at positions 338 to 795 of the family's 1533-position model. The record is from RNAcentral.